RNAcentral lists this ribosomal RNA (1135 nucleotides) under Escherichia coli. Its description in RNAcentral is "partial 23S ribosomal RNA". It matches the Rfam family "Bacterial large subunit ribosomal RNA", at positions 55 to 1230 of the family's 2925-position model. Lineage: Bacteria; Pseudomonadati; Pseudomonadota; Gammaproteobacteria; Enterobacterales; Enterobacteriaceae. The record is from RNAcentral.
GACGUGCUAAUCUGCGAUAAGCGUCGGUAAGGUGAUAUGAACCGUUAUAACCGGCGAUUUCCGAAUGGGGAAACCCAGUGUGAUUCGUCACACUAUCAUUAACUGAAUCCAUAGGUUAAUGAGGCGAACCGGGGGAACUGAAACAUCUAAGUACCCCGAGGAAAAGAAAUCAACCGAGAUUCCCCCAGUAGCGGCGAGCGAACGGGGAGCAGCCCAGAGCCUGAAUCAGUGUGUGUGUUAGUGGAAGCGUCUGGAAAGGCGCGCGAUACAGGGUGACAGCCCCGUACACAAAAAUGCACAUGCUGUGAGCUCGAUGAGUAGGGCGGGACACGUGGUAUCCUGUCUGAAUAUGGGGGGACCAUCCUCCAAGGCUAAAUACUCCUGACUGACCGAUAGUGAACCAGUACCGUGAGGGAAAGGCGAAAAGAACCCCGGCGAGGGGAGUGAAAAAGAACCUGAAACCGUGUACGUACAAGCAGUGGGAGCACGCUUAGGCGUGUGACUGCGUACCUUUUGUAUAAUGGGUCAGCGACUUAUAUUCUGUAGCAAGGUUAACCGAAUAGGGGAGCCGAAGGGAAACCGAGUCUUAACUGGGCGUUAAGUUGCAGGGUAUAGACCCGAAACCCGGUGAUCUAGCCAUGGGCAGGUUGAAGGUUGGGUAACACUAACUGGAGGACCGAACCGACUAAUGUUGAAAAAUUAGCGGAUGACUUGUGGCUGGGGGUGAAAGGCCAAUCAAACCGGGAGAUAGCUGGUUCUCCCCGAAAGCUAUUUAGGUAGCGCCUCGUGAAUUCAUCUCCGGGGGUAGAGCACUGUUUCGGCAAGGGGGUCAUCCCGACUUACCAACCCGAUGCAAACUACGAAUACCGGAGAAUGUUAUCACGGGAGACACACGGCGGGUGCUAACGUCCGUCGUGAAGAGGGAAACAACCCAGACCGCCAGCUAAGGUCCCAAAGUCAUGGUUAAGUGGGAAACGAUGUGGGAAGGCCCAGACAGCCAGGAUGUUGGCUUAGAAGCAGCCAUCAUUUAAAGAAAGCGUAAUAGCUCACUGGUCGAGUCGGCCUGCGCGGAAGAUGUAACGGGGCUAAACCAUGCACCGAAGCUGCGGCAGCGACGCUUAUGCGUUGUUGGGUA